UCGAUCUGUUCUCUUGUGUUCUCAAUUCCCCCCUUUUUUUUUGUUUGAUUGUUAAUUCCCUACUCAAAUUAGUUUGUUUGUUUAAUUCCCCAUUUUUUUUUAUCAGUUUUUCAUGUAUAGAUAUGAAUUCUCUAUUCCUAUUUUUCAUUUUCAAUUCAUUCUUUUGAUUUAGUUAUUCUCUCUACCAACUCUAAUUUGAGUAGUUGCAUUUGUUUUCUAAUGUUAACAGAGCCAUCUCUUUGCUUGUCUGCAAUUUGCGUUUUUUAUCUCCAUUUUGUUCCCAAAUAUUUUCUCAAUUUGUGUUCUUU
RNAcentral lists this long non-coding RNA (308 nucleotides) under Trifolium pratense (red clover). Its description in RNAcentral is "long non-coding RNA (TPRA_LNC013082)". The record is from RNAcentral. Lineage: Eukaryota; Viridiplantae; Streptophyta; Magnoliopsida; Fabales; Fabaceae.